RNAcentral lists this RNase P RNA (368 nucleotides) under Tannerellaceae bacterium. RNAcentral's name for it is "RNase P RNA component class A". It matches the Rfam family "Bacterial RNase P class A". Rfam says of the family: Ribonuclease P (RNase P) is a ubiquitous endoribonuclease, found in archaea, bacteria and eukarya as well as chloroplasts and mitochondria. Its best characterised activity is the generation of mature 5'-ends of tRNAs by cleaving the 5'-leader elements of precursor-tRNAs. The record is from RNAcentral. Lineage: Bacteria; Pseudomonadati; Bacteroidota; Bacteroidia; Bacteroidales; Tannerellaceae.
GCAGCAGGACGGUUUGUCGCUCGACCACGAAAGGUCGGGAGGAAAGUCCGGGCAACGCAGAGCACCAUAUUUCCUAACGGGAAGCUGUUCGCGAGGGCAGAGUAACGUAACAGAAAAUAACCGUCGUCCGCAAGGAUUGAUAAGGGUGAAAAGGCGAGGUAAAAGCUCACCGGGUCACAUAGCAAUAUGAGAUGCCGUACGUCUUAUGGGUUGUAAGGUCAUGUAUAUCGGCGCAAGUAGGAUUGCUCGUCCGAUGCCGAGGGGUAGACCGCUAGAGCUUGUCGGUGACGGCAAGUCGAGAUAAAUGACAGACACUUGGCUCCUCCGUGGGCGAAGAACAGAACCCGGCUUACAGGCCUGCUGCUUUU